Molecule: transfer RNA, 70 nt
Filed under: Podarcis lilfordi (Lilford's wall lizard)
Lineage: Eukaryota; Metazoa; Chordata; Lepidosauria; Squamata; Lacertidae
Description: tRNA.Ile
Rfam family: tRNA (bases 4-62)
About the family: Transfer RNA (tRNA) molecules are approximately 80 nucleotides in length.
Source: RNAcentral
GGAUAGCUCAAUUGGGUAGAGCGUGGUGCUGAUAAUGCCAAGGUUGCAGGUUUGAUCCCUGUAAGGGACA